This 403-nucleotide ribosomal RNA is filed under the name Verrucomicrobiota bacterium. RNAcentral's name for it is "Verrucomicrobia bacterium partial 16S ribosomal RNA". It matches the Rfam family "Bacterial small subunit ribosomal RNA", at positions 355 to 776 of the family's 1533-position model. Lineage: Bacteria; Pseudomonadati; Verrucomicrobiota. The record is from RNAcentral.
UGGGGAAUAUUGCACAAUGGGGGAAACCCUGAUGCAGCGACGCCGCGUGAGCGAAGAAGGCUUUCGAGUCGUAAAGCUCUGUCCUACGAGAAGAUAAUGACGGUAUCAAAGCAGGAAGCCCAGGCCAAAUACGUGCCAGCAGCCGCGGUAAUACGUAUGGGGCGGGCGCUCUCCGGAAUUAUUGGGCGUAAAGGGUACGUAGGCGGUUUUUUAAGUCAGGUGUCAAAGCGUGGAGCUUAACUCCAUUAAGCACGUGAAACUGAAAGACUUGAGUGAAGGAGAGGAAAGUGGAAUUCCUAGUGUAGCGGUGAAAUGCGUAGAUAUUAGGAGGAAUACCGGUGGCGAAGGCGACUUUCUGGACUUUUACUGACGCUCAGGUACGAAAGCGUGGGGAGCAAACAGG